This 594-nucleotide small RNA is filed under the name Pan troglodytes (chimpanzee). RNAcentral describes it as "retained intron". Lineage: Eukaryota; Metazoa; Chordata; Mammalia; Primates; Hominidae. The record is from RNAcentral.
UAGGCAGUAAACAUUUGAGAAGUUGACCUAGGCUUUGUUCAUGAAAUGUUCUGUUUUCUUAGAAAAAAUGGUUUUGACCAGGCUGUAUCAGCUGUAAUAAAAGCUACUCAUUAGGUUAUAACAGUAACUAAAUCUAUUCCCUAAUGGUAUUUCCUUACCAUGCUAAACACAUUUGUUUUUUUUUUACUUUACUUCAUGGUAUAACUUAAUGAGUUUUUCUCUGUCACAUGACCUCAUUAUAGAUGGCAUUAAAUGCUUAUUCAUACCUGUAUUUUUCCUUGACUUCUCUAGGGGUCAGGCCCAGCCCCAGGCCCAGUGGUAUUACUGAAUUCACUGAAUGUGGAUGCAGUAUGUGAGAAGCUGAAACAAAUAGAAGGGCUGGACCAGAGUAUGCUGCCUCAGUAUUGUACCACGAUCAAAAAGGCAAACAUAAAUGGCCGUGUGUUAGCUCAGUGUAACAUUGAUGAACUGAAGAAAGAGAUGAAUAUGAAUUUUGGAGACUGGCACCUUUUUAGAAGCACAGUACUAGAAAUGAGAAACGCAGAAAGCCACGUGGUCCCUGAAGACCCACGUUUCCUCAGUGAGAGCAGCAGU